Molecule: ribosomal RNA, 460 nt
Filed under: uncultured bacterium
Lineage: Bacteria
Description: partial 16S ribosomal RNA
Rfam family: Bacterial small subunit ribosomal RNA
Source: RNAcentral
CCUACGGGGGACUGCAGUGAGGAAUAUUGGUCAAUGGGCGAGAGCCUGAACCAGCCAAGUAGCGUGAAGGAUGACUGCCCUACGGGUUGUAAACCUCUUUUAUAAAGGAAUAAAGCGAGGUACGUGUGCCCUUUCGUAUGUUCCUUAUGAAUAAGGAUCGGCCAACCCCGUGCCAGCAGCCGCGGUAAUACGGAGGAUUCGAGCGUUAUCCGGAUUUAUUGGGUUUAAAGGGAUCAUAGGUGGGUUGUUAAGUCAGUUGUGAAAGUUUACGGCUCAACCGUAAAAUUGCAAUUGAUACUGGCAGCAUUGAGUACAGUUGAGGUAGGCGGAAUUCGUGGUGUAGCGGUGAAAUGCUUAGAUAUCACGAAGAACUCCGAUUGCGAAGGCAGCUUACUAAACUGCAACUGACAUUGAUGCUCGAAAGUGUGGGUAUCAAACAGGAUUAGAUACCCGAGUAGUC